GACGAACGCUGGCGGCGUGCUUAACACAUGCAAGUCGAACGGUAAGGCCCUUCGGGGUACACGAGUGGCGAACGGGUGAGUAACACGUGGGUGAUCUGCCCUGCACUUCGGGAUAAGCCUGGGAAACUGGGUCUAAUACCGGAUAGGACUCCGGACUGCAUGGUCUGGGGUGGAAAGCUUUUGCGGUGUGGGGUGGUGCCCGCGGCCUAGCAGGUUGUUGGUGGGGUGAUGGCCUACCAAGGCGACGACGGGUAGCCGGCCUGAGAGGGUGACCGGCCACACUGGGACUCGGAUACGGCCCAGACGCCUACGGGAGGCAGCAGAGGGGAAUAUUGCACAAGGGGCGCAAGCCUGAUGCAACGACGCCGCGUGAGGGAUGACGGCCUUCGGGUUGUAAACCUCUUGCAGCAUCGACGGAGCGAAAGUGACGGUAGGUGCAGAAGAAGGACCGGCCAACUACGUGCCAGCAGCCGCAGUAA
Molecule: ribosomal RNA, 479 nt
Filed under: uncultured bacterium
Lineage: Bacteria
Description: partial 16S ribosomal RNA
Rfam family: Bacterial small subunit ribosomal RNA
Source: RNAcentral